UUUCCGGUGUGUCCUUUAUGGACUGUACUCCGUCUUAGCACUAUCCUCAAGUUUUACCUGAGAGGCCACGCUUCAGGUCGGACCGUCUUCCAUAUAUCUACUGACUUCAUAUAAACGAAAGUGUACUGAGGACUCACUAAUCUGCACUACUAGUAACAAAGUAAUCCGACAAUCAGAUUGGACCCGGUCAUGUUAGGUACCAAAGGAAAACGAAAAUAUCAUUGGUUCUAUACUGAUGCAUGACUUCGCUCGGAACGCGGCAAGAAUUAACAAUGGAAGAAAAUACUACAGACGUGUUUAUUAACGAUAAAGUUAUUUUUGUUUUUAUGAAAUAGCGAUUGAAUAAAAAUAUUAGGUAUAUGAGUUUUAUUUAGAGAUGAAAUAAGUCAAG
This is a long non-coding RNA of Leguminivora glycinivorella, 391 nucleotides long. RefSeq lists it as uncharacterized. Lineage: Eukaryota; Metazoa; Arthropoda; Insecta; Lepidoptera; Tortricidae. The transcript has 4 exons. The record is from RefSeq and is a predicted model, not a curated record.